RNAcentral lists this ribosomal RNA (301 nucleotides) under uncultured bacterium. RNAcentral's name for it is "partial 16S ribosomal RNA". It matches the Rfam family "Bacterial small subunit ribosomal RNA", at positions 509 to 808 of the family's 1533-position model. The record is from RNAcentral.
CAGUCGCGCGGUAAUACGGAGGGUGCAAGCGUUAUCCGGAUUUAUUGGGUUUAAAGGGUCCGUAGGCGGAUCUGUAAGUCAGUGGUGAAAUCUCACAGCUUAACUGUGAAACUGCCAUUGAUACUGCAGGUCUUGAGUAAAUUUGAAGUGGCUGGAAUAAGUAGUGUAGCGGUGAAAUGCAUAGAUAUUACUUAGAACACCAAUUGCGAAGGCAGGUCACUAAGAUUUAACUGACGCUGAUGGACGAAAGCGUGGGGAGCGAACAGGAUUAGAUACCCGCGUAGUCCCUGUCUCUUAUACA